This 327-nucleotide ribosomal RNA is filed under the name uncultured eukaryote. RNAcentral's name for it is "partial 18S ribosomal RNA". It matches the Rfam family "Eukaryotic small subunit ribosomal RNA", at positions 1470 to 1796 of the family's 1831-position model. The record is from RNAcentral.
CCCUUAGAUGUCCUGGGCCGCACGCGCGUUACACUGAUGCAUUCAACGAGCUUAUAACCUUGGCCGAGAGGCCUGGGCAAUCUUGUUAACGUGCAUCGUGAUAGGGAUAGAUUAUUGAAAUUAUUAAUCUUGAACGAGGAAUUCCUAGUAGACGUAGUUCAUCAGACUGCAUCGAUUACGUCCCUGCCCUUUGUACACACCGCCCGUCGCUCCUACCAAUUGAGUGAUCCGGUGAAUAAUUCGGACUGCUGCAAUGCUUGGAUCCCGAGAAUUGCGGCGGAAAAGUUUAGUGAACCUUAUCACUUAGAGGAAGGAGAAGUCGUAACA